GUAUUAAUUGCGUUUGACCGCAAAAGAAAAGAAAACAUUCUACACUGUAUCAAGUUUUAUGUGAAAACGCAAGCCCUCCUGCAAAGGAGGGCCCACGCGGUGAUGCACAAAAGGGGUGAGAUGGAUGUGUGAGAGCACUCGAGCGUGCACAACCUUUGAAGGUCAGCGACAGCUCUUUGUGCCUCGGUUUUACAAUAAUGAUCCUUCCGCAGGUUCACCUACGGAAA
Molecule: unclassified non-coding RNA, 227 nt
Filed under: uncultured fungus
Lineage: Eukaryota; Fungi
Description: sequence contains ITS1
Source: RNAcentral